RNAcentral lists this transfer RNA (84 nucleotides) under Phrynosoma platyrhinos (Desert horned lizard). RNAcentral describes it as "tRNA-OTHER". The record is from RNAcentral. Lineage: Eukaryota; Metazoa; Chordata; Lepidosauria; Squamata; Phrynosomatidae.
GCCCUGGUGGCACAGUGGUUAAAUGCCUGUACUGCAGCCAUUCACUCAGACCACAAGGUUGCGAGUUCAAUACUAGCCAGGGCU